This 2116-nucleotide long non-coding RNA is filed under the name Anas platyrhynchos platyrhynchos (common mallard). RNAcentral describes it as "lncRNA (ENSAPLG00000017780.1)". Lineage: Eukaryota; Metazoa; Chordata; Aves; Anseriformes; Anatidae. The record is from RNAcentral.
CUCUUGCCAGGCCUGAUCAACAAUUAUUCAAGACAUGUGAUGUGGACCGCAUUUGAUGAUUCUCUUCAAGGUGUAAACCUACGCAGCAGCUUAAUAAACAGCAUACAUUGCACAGUCAACAUUGAUUUACACAUCUUCUGAAGAGAUGAUGCAUGAAAUGAUCAGAAAAGUCAAUAAUGCAAGCAAAAUGUAUGGGCUUGAGAUAAGUAACAGAAAACAAAAUCAAUGCCUUCCAGCUAUUACCAUCAUGAAGUAGAGUUCAUAAUAGAUAACAUUAAGUUUGAACAAGUUGCAUCAUUCCAAUACCUGCAAUCAGCUGUCACUUCUGACAAUAAUUGCCAGAGUGGUAUUCAUAUACAUAUAUGUUAGCUCUACCUCUGGUGCUAAAUGCAUUUAGCUGAACAAUCAGAGCAAACAACCUGACGAGCCAGAUAUUUUAUUAUUCUGACAUUAAAAAAAGGAGACUGUGAAGCCCAUUAAUCACGACCCGUAUUACCAUGAACAUAUGAAUAUAGCACUGAAGAAAGCCCCCAAAAUUUCCUACAGACAUAUUAAAACAAAUAGCAGAGGCUGUUGAUGGGAUCAGCCUAUCAGUAGCUCAGAGGGAUGAAAUUUAGCAGAACGAGGCAGCUGACACUAUCAGAGCACCUGAGCAACAAUGACUCAGUCAAGCAGCACGGGCAACGAUACAGCUCGGCUUUGUGUCCAGACCUUUAUGUGGGACCUAUCGUAUGACUCUACAUCAAGGAUUCUGAUAGCCCCAGGACGCAAUCAAUAAGAAAGCAACAUAAGAGAGAGCUCUGGCCACUGAGGGCUUGUCAACAUGGGGAAGCUAUUGUGAAACACAGGAGGGUGUGAGUGUGGAGUACAAUGGCUCAGGCCGUUGUGGAAGCCGAUAGUCUGAGUAUUUCGGCAGCAGUGCGUGUAACCUGUGCCACUGAGCAAAACCAGGAGGAGUUGCCUUUGGAGUGCAGGAGAGGCUGCCAAACACAGCUCCGGCUAUUUGCAGAAGCAAUCAUCCUGCCUGUCGUGCAGAGGCUGGUAAUGACACACACAGCCUCUUCCCUCCAGCCAGGAGGAUGGAUUUGGCUUCGGCUAUUCACUGUCCGACUUUGACCAAUUGAUAAUUAUUCAAUGGCUGUAAAAAAUACAUUGGCAGUCUCAAUCCAGCUCUUAACAGAGCUGUAAAACGCUCACAAAAAUACAACAGACAGCAGUGACGGUGCCCUUUUGUGAGUAGCAAGAGGCAGAGAGGAAAAAGUGUUCUUCCUUCCUACAAGGCAGAAGCAAAGGUAGUGCCUCACCAGGAGAUGGUGGUGUGGGGAGUUAAAUCACCAUAAGUGCAUCUCUGCUCCUUCCCCUAGCACUGGGAAACUGCCCUGAGCUGCAGCGUCGCAGCUGAAUGGCCAUCCCAGCAAAUCCAUUCUCUAAUGGCUUGGAUCUGAUCUGCAGAUGAGAAGAUGAUUUCAGCAGAGUUCUGCUUUGAUUUUUUAGGGACCCAUUCAUCUCCCCAAACUAAAAUCUGAGCUCAUAAAGCACAAACCCACACAAGCUAAAACCAAUCAGUACUUCCCCAAAUCCCUGCAAAGCCGAACCAUUCAGUGCCGCACUGCUCUGCCAAUAAUAGUAACAAGUAACACUACACUCAGACUGUAAUUUUUCAUAUCCAGUGUUCUGUUGUCAUAUGAUUUACUGUGCUAGCACUGAGAGCCAUUGCCCAAGCCCUCUCUCUGCACUCCUCCUGAUUUACUUAAAUCUUUUUACUUUUAUCAGCCACAGGGAAUGGGGACACUUACAUGUAACAACUGACAAUUUGAACAGAAAAUACAGAGAAAAGCUGUGUAAAGCAAGUGGCUGAGAUUAUAGCUGUUGACUUCUAAUAUUAUUUGACAGAUGAGACUGCUGCAAUUAUCCUCUGCUCAUGGGUUCCAUUACUGGAACAAGAAGCGCACAAAAUAAGGGCAAUUUCCCAAACAAUAUAUAGGGCCACUUAACUUUGUCAAGAGCCAUUUCUGCAAGCGAAGUCCUCCCUGGUUAAAGAUACAACGAUAAUGUGCCGGCAACUUCACAUGAGCAUUUAGUACAUUCCACGUUAACUGCCUUUUCAGUUGUUCUU